Molecule: non-coding RNA, 1691 nt
Organism: Arachis ipaensis
Lineage: Eukaryota; Viridiplantae; Streptophyta; Magnoliopsida; Fabales; Fabaceae
Source: RefSeq, a predicted model, not a curated record
CGUUUUCCAAAUUAAUUGAGAAACCCUAACCCUGAAUCCCUUAACCCAUCCACCGAAACCCCUUCCCCAAACCCAGCAGCCUAGACGCACACUGAAGAAACGGAAAAGAGAGAGAGAGAGAGAGACCGAGAGAGGAAGCCCGUGAAGUCGCCGCUGAGCCACCGCCGCUGUGUCCUACCUGCGCCGCCGUUCACGCUUGUCGCCGUCCAGCCGUUGGUGCGAGCUCGUUGCCGUCGAGGAGAAGCUGCCGUCGCGUUCUGAUCGUCGUCGCGCUCUGCUGCCACGAGGUCGCCGUCGUCGUUGCUUCGAAGGGAGCCGUAGUCAUCGCCGUCAUAGUCGCCGUCGAGCAUGAAGGGUGGAGGAGAGAGAGCUCGCGUCCGAGGCUGAAGAGGAGAUGCUGUCUGCGCUGCUGCCAGGGCCCGUCGCCAUCACCGUCGCACACAUGAGAGGGGGAAAACGAGCAGAACGCGAGGAAGAGGAGGAGUUCUCGUCACUGUUGUGUGCCCAGUCAUCACUGCUGCUUCCAAUCCCGCCGUUGAUGCUGUUGCGACUAUCACCAUUGAAGCUCGCCAAAUCUGCUCCUACUUCUGGAUUCUGGAAUCUGAGAAAACGCCACUGCCGCUGCUGUUUGUUGGGUUCAAGAUCGCUGCUGCUGUUCUUGCUCUGUUCUGCCUCUGCUUCUAGUUUUGUAGUUGCUGGAGCCUUUGCCGCCGGGAACCAAUGUUGGAGCUGCUCUUGAUGAUUCUGAUGCUGCUACGUAGGUUCCGAGCUGCUGUGUUGUUGCAAGAGGAAGGGAACUCAUAGGAAAAAUGUCACCGAGGCUGCUGUUUGGUUUGAUUGCGUUGUUAAUACGACACUGAGUGACACAGGUUCGAAGACUCGGUUUGAAGCUGCAGGCGAUUAUAAAACUUAUUUAUGAGUUAAGUUUAUAAGUUGCGUUGUUUUCAUAGAGUUCCCUCGCCCUUGUUACUUUAGUUUUUAUUUUAUACAGAGGGAUAUGAGUUGUACCUGAGUUUCAUUUGAAUUCUUUUGUAUAAUAUUUAUUAUUAUUAAUAACUAUGUGAUUAUUACUGCUUGUUGAUCUUUGACAUGAUUUUAAUAAACAAAAACAAAAUUUUCUGGCUUUUUAUUAAAAACUGAAAUGCAAUAUCGAACUAAAGGCUCAAUAUUAAAUAGUUAAUAAAGAAAACAGGUUAGUAACGCCUUACUUUUGGUACGAUCAUGACGUACUGGAAGUUGGGUCGUUACAGUUUGUAUCCAAGCUUAUGGUAAGUAACUGAACAUUGGAUUGACUUUGCACAUGCUCGUGUUAGCUUGAUUAACUUUUACCAUUUGGAAAGCUAUAGCAUUUGAAACUGUUAAAAAUUGUUUAGUUGGUGAAGAAUUUCUUGAAGUAACAUCACAAGCACAAAAGAUAUUCCACUGAUGGGAGCAGAAUUUUGGGACUCGGAGUUUGGAGUUCAUGGAAAUGGCAAUCCAUUGGGAAGCUUGAUCUGUAUAUUACAGCUGCUGGGAUAAAUCCUAAAGGUUCGUGCCCUGGGAUGAUUCCGUCGCUGUGAAUGACAUUGUAGCUGGUCUGAAAGGAUUCAGAGAUGAUGAUGUGAAGCCAUUUUCUUCUGGUUUGAAUGCAGCUGAGACUCAGCUUUCCAAAUGGUAAAAGUUAAUCAAACUAACACGUGCAAAGUCGAUCC